This is a long non-coding RNA of Asterias rubens (European starfish), 1434 nucleotides long. RefSeq lists it as uncharacterized. The record is from RefSeq and is a predicted model, not a curated record. The transcript is spliced from 5 exons. NCBI's taxonomy places the organism in Eukaryota, Metazoa, Echinodermata, Asteroidea, Forcipulatida, Asteriidae.
AAUUGGAGAUAUGUUGGCAUUUCUCCAGGUAGGAGGAACACAUCUGGUGUCUAGUGAUUGUUGGAAUAUGAAACUUAGUAUAGAUUCAAUAAGAUCCCUUCACCAUACAAUGAAGUACUUAUGCACUCCCAGCAUUACUCAAUCUGGACAUGUAGCUAUAAAGGUCAAGAACAUGUUCCAGCAUUGAAAUGCCGUAUUGUAGCUGCGUCUGUUGAUGACAGACCAUGCUUUGACAGAAACUCUGAUACAAAUGUUUCUGACAAUGAUUUGUAAAUCAUCAUGCUGCUGUUCUGUGGAUUUGUCUAUGUGAAAUGUUUGACAUCACUGAAGGAGCAAGUAUCAUCAAAGGACUAUGGUUAGUUGUGUUAAAUGCAAACAUUGGAUGCAUAUGAGAAUGCAUGGUGCAGAUUGAUCAAGUUCUGACAAUGCAAAAAGGAAAUGUAUUCAAUAUUUGUUGUACUAAAAUCACUCUUAGAUGCUUGUCCUUGGAAAAAAUGCUCUCCAUGAAUAUGCAAAAGACACAAAAACUUGUAUACCCAACACUUAAAUGCAGAUAAUGCCAUGUAGAUUUCAAUCCUGUCCUCCGUCACUUUUCCUUGAAAAAAAAAAACAUUUCCUCAGACGUGCUGUGAAUGAUUUUUUCUGGUACCUACAAAUGAUGACACUUGAAGCAUUUUUCCUUAAUCCAAUGACAAACAUUUGUGUGUGUGGUCUAUAUAGAUGUAUCCCUGCACGUAUGUAUUUUAUUAAGUUAGAAGUUAUGAAUGAUUGUUGUACAAAUUGUAAAUGAAUUCCAUUUUGUAAUUGAAAAGUGUUUGAUACUUCAUAAUGUAUUAAGUGUAGUUGCUACAAUAUGAAAUGGACUCUAUUUGCUCCUAUACAUUAUCCAUAAAACCAUAUCAUUUAGUUGUGUACAGUAGAUAGAAUGAAUGAAUGAACGAAUGAAUGGAUGAGAGUUAUGUGUUUGUGCACCUUUCCCAUCCCCAAAAUGCUAUGCAAGACAGUAUGAUUCAUUAUUGAAGUUGUAAAUGCGUACAUGUAAGAAAUCUUUUGAUAUUGAAAGAAAUCUUUAUGUGCUUGUUCAUUUUCCAAUUUGCUUGAUAUUGUAGGAGUUUGUUGACCAUCAUACUGCCUUACAUGCAUUAGUGUUGUUCUUUUUUGUGUUGUCUUCAAAGCCACGGUGCGAUGUAAAAAAAAUUUCCUUGAAUCCCACCCGAGUAAUAGUUUUUUUCACGCCUUUGAUAUUUUUUCUUCGCAGAACUCUGGUAAGUUCUGAGUAUAAAGUGCUAACAACUAUUGGUGUAUAAGGGUAAAAACAAAUUAAUAUUCUUUAUUCCGGAUGCAAGUGUAACAUCUAUAAAUCGUUUGCAGUACCCGCUGCUACACUUGCGAUUCAAAAUGCCUCUAGCCACCGGGCAAUCUCAGUGGUCUAGU